CCGCCCGUAGGACGUAGCGUGAGCGAUGAAGCCCUUCGGGGUGUAAAGCUCUUUCGGCAGGAACGAUAAUGACGGUACCUGCAGAAGAAGCUGCGGCUAACUACGUGCCAGCAGCCGCGGUAAUACGUAGGCAGCAAGCGUUGUUCGGAAUUACUGGGCGUAAUGAGUGUGUAGGUGGUGUCGUAAGUUUGGUGUGAAAUCUCCCGGCUUAACUGGGAGGGUGCGCCGAAGACUGCGAUGCUUGAGUAUG
This 250-nucleotide ribosomal RNA is filed under the name uncultured bacterium. Its description in RNAcentral is "partial 16S ribosomal RNA". It matches the Rfam family "Bacterial small subunit ribosomal RNA", at positions 383 to 650 of the family's 1533-position model. The record is from RNAcentral.